This 693-nucleotide transfer RNA is filed under the name Leishmania donovani. RNAcentral's name for it is "tRNA.36.005". The stretch from base 37 to 107 matches the Rfam family "tRNA". Lineage: Eukaryota; Euglenozoa; Kinetoplastea; Trypanosomatida; Trypanosomatidae. The record is from RNAcentral.
ACCCACAUUGACCUGCGGGAACCGUCUCGUGUCGAAGCGCAGUUGGUCUAGUGGUAGAAUUCUCGCCUGCCACGCGGGAGGCCCGGGUUCGAUUCCCGGACUGCGCACACUUUUCUCAGAGAACCCAGGUGUGAGCAGCCCCCUCCCGCCGCAGAAGGGAAAAGGUCCACACCAUGUCAUCGAAAGGCCACGGUUUUAGCCGAGCGAGGGCUCCGUCUAACCGCACGCCGGAUGCGCUCAAGAAUGUUGGCCACGCUCCGGCCAGGGCUCUCUGAAGACCCUCCGUCUGCCGGUGCGCCGCAUUUCCAACCCGUCACCCGCGCAACGGGCGCCACCGCCCCCUUGUUUUGGGGCACUUGCGCCCCGAGCCAAGGCGCGCAGCCCGAGGAGCGGUAGGCCCGAGACGACGCGGCGCACCACCAAAAGGGAGGUGAGCAAACGGAAAGGCCGGCAAAGCGAACCCAUGACGUGCGGCAGGAUAGCCCCCCCCCCCACAGCCCGGCCGCAGCCCCGCGAAAAACAGCGAACUCUGAAUUCUGCAGCCCUUGACCUCAUUAUCGUAGAAUAGGCAUGCCGACCGACGCAGCAAAAAAAUGCCAGCCAAAAAACGGGGUCCGAAAGCAAAAUGGUUUUCAAAAUCUUUCCAAAAGGUCAAGAAAAAGGCCGCUAGGGGGAUCGAACCCCUGACCUCCG